Molecule: non-coding RNA, 278 nt
Filed under: Anaerolineaceae bacterium
Lineage: Bacteria; Bacillati; Chloroflexota; Anaerolineae; Anaerolineales; Anaerolineaceae
Description: T-box sequence
Rfam family: T-box leader
About the family: Uncharged tRNA acts as the effector for transcription antitermination of genes in the T-box leader family.
Source: RNAcentral
UUAAAGGCUGUGAAUGGGAGUAGUAGGCCAGCCCUCGCAGAGAGCCGGGUUAUGGUGGGAGCCUGGCAGGAGGCGCUUUCGAGGGGCGCCGGUGAAAGAUUUUCACAAAAGCUGAACUCGCCCAAGAGCCUCGCCGGUAAAGUUGCAGUAGCCGGCGACGGUGCGCUCGUUAUCGCGCCCACAAGUGGAGGAAAGAAGGUCAGAAGCGUGCCCGGCUCUGGCGCUGAGUAUCUUUCCUCAAACAGGGUGGUACCACGGAGUGACCCUUCGUCCCUAAU